AUAUUCCCCGGGGCACCGACAAACACUACCAUCAUUCUCUUCUUCUCCUGGGCUUUUUUUUUUUUUUUUUAAGGUGUACGUUUCAUACAAUAAAAUGUACCCAUUUUAAGUUCAUUUUGCUACUUGUACACACUCAUGUAACCAUCACCCCCAUCAGGUUCUAGAACUUUCUCCCUCUGAGUUCUAGAACUUUCUAUAACCCCCCCAAAGUUCCCUUUUGCUGUUGAUAUCCAUCAUCUGCAGCCAACGUUCUCAAGGCCUUUGCUCUUACAUAGGUCUUUCCCACUCGUGUGCCAACCAAGGGAGUGGUAUACCCUCCCUUGACCCCAUGCGCUUUCCCAUCAGAACAAGGUAUGGCCGUCAAGGUGGAGUGAAGUUCAGCAACUUGCUCAAAUUCACGCACCGAAAGACUUGUACUUGACAUUGCCAGGAUCCGCAGCCCCGCGGCUGGACUCCAGAGCCAAGGUCCUCGCUACUAUCCCACCCUACACGGGCGAUGCCGAAACGUGAAACGUCGAGAGGCUGGUGGCCAGAGGUCCCGAGGAAGACCCCGUCCUCACCUGCCGCGCACACCCAUUUGCGGGAGCUCUGCGGGCCAGAAUCAGCUUGAGGCAACCAGAACAUUCCGGAAAUCCAGAGUUAAAUGUAUUUUAUCCCUUGGAAAACAGUGUUUAUCGUGAAGAAGUCGUGACAAGUGUAUUUCAUCCGUGAAUAAAGGCAGUUCGGAGGGAGAGAGAGAAAGCCAGCCAGUCUAUCUCAUGAAUUCAUCGGCGCCUAAAGAAGUCAGCAGAUUCAAAAGGAAAUCGCCAGAAAAAAAUAAACGCUGAAACGUUCCAGGGCACAGCAGAUGAAAUCGAUGUUCCCCGAUUGGCUAACAUGCGACAGGACCGCCGGUCGGGCAGAGAAGGAGCCCCGGACGUGCAGGUGGGAAAGGUCUCGAUCGCGGGGUCAGUCACAGAGGUGCCUGGAUUUCGCUGGUAUCGAAAAAGAUGACCGGGGGCCAACUCACAUAUGGUCCCUAAAGAUUUGCCUGCAGCAAAUCAAAGUGGGGUUCCUAACACGGGCGACCAAAUCCGCCACGCAAACGCGGGAAACGUGGGGGUGUUCAGGAGCAUUGGCGUGCCCAUCGGUUGUGCUCUGUGAUGCCAAGGCCUCUGCAGAAAAACGCAAAAACCCGUGGACGCGCUUCCACGACGCUCCGUUCCUUGUUCCGCGCCACCCAUGCAUCUGUCGCAAGACUGGCGAUCGCCCCAAACACAUGUAACCAGAGCAGCGAGGCAGUAUCGGGGACACGGAGUGGUUCGCUCCAGUCACAUCGGGCCGCGCGUCAGCAGGCUUUAUCUGCCGCGAUUUGAGCGGCUUGCAAAGAUUAUUGAAACCGGGGAAGCAGCAUUAAGCGAUUAUCAGACACACAGGUGGCCCAUGAAUUGAGAAUUCCUUUACACGUGCUAAAUGUUAUAGGGGUUUUUUUCUUCCCCGACGAGCUUCAAAGUGAAACUGUAGACAUGUUUUCAUUGCCUUCUGAAGUAAAAGCAAUCUUUAGCAUCUCAGAGAAAUGAUGACUAUUUCAAAACCAUUUGGUAGACAGCAAAGGAAACUCGCCAGAGACGAAUCUCAGGGGGAGGGGGCGGGGGG
This is a long non-coding RNA of Felis catus (domestic cat), 1635 nucleotides long. RefSeq lists it as uncharacterized. The transcript is spliced from 4 exons. Lineage: Eukaryota; Metazoa; Chordata; Mammalia; Carnivora; Felidae. The record is from RefSeq and is a predicted model, not a curated record.